This 399-nucleotide ribosomal RNA is filed under the name uncultured Acidovorax sp. Its description in RNAcentral is "bacterial SSU rRNA". It matches the Rfam family "Bacterial small subunit ribosomal RNA", at positions 983 to 1382 of the family's 1533-position model. The record is from RNAcentral. Lineage: Bacteria; Pseudomonadati; Pseudomonadota; Betaproteobacteria; Burkholderiales; Comamonadaceae.
GACAUGUACGGAAUCCUUUAGAGAUAGAGGAGUGCUCGAAAGAGAGCCGUAACACAGGUGCUGCAUGGCUGUCGUCAGCUCGUGUCGUGAGAUGUUGGGUUAAGUCCCGCAACGAGCGCAACCCUUGUCAUUAGUUGCUACAUUCAGUUGGGCACUCUAAUGAGACUGCCGGUGACAAACCGGAGGAAGGUGGGGAUGACGUCAAGUCCUCAUGGCCCUUAUAGGUGGGGCUACACACGUCAUACAAUGGAUGGUACAAAGGGUCGCCAACCCGCGAGGGGGAGCCAAUCCCAUAAAGCCAUUCGUAGUCCGGAUCGCAGUCUGCAACUCGACUGCGUGAAGUCGGAAUCGCUAGUAAUCGUGGAUCAGAAUGUCGCGGUGAAUACGUUCCCGGGUCUU